Molecule: non-coding RNA, 711 nt
Organism: Phyllostomus hastatus (greater spear-nosed bat)
Lineage: Eukaryota; Metazoa; Chordata; Mammalia; Chiroptera; Phyllostomidae
Source: the annotation of a RefSeq genome assembly
UGGAGGGACUUAUUUGCAUCAAGAAACCUCUUCCUCUGGGGCACAGGGAAAGAUAAAAUAGAUCAGAGGUGCCCCCUGUAAGUGGAGGAACUCAGAAGGUGGAGCCUCAGCAUUGUCCCUACCAUGGACUGGACUCCUCUCCUCCUCACGCUCCUCACUCACUACACAGGGACCUGGGCCCAGUCUGGGCUGACCCAGGAAGCCUCAGUGUCGGGGUCUCCGGGUCAGACUGUCACCCUCACCUGCACUGGAAACAGCAAUAAUGUUGGAUACAGUGGUGCAAGCUGGUACCAGCAGGUCCCUGGUGCUGUCCCCAAACUUCUCAUCUAUGGUACCAACAAUCGACCCUCAGGGAUCCCGGCUCGGUUCUCUGGCUCCCGUUCAGGAGCUAAGGCCACCCUGACCAUCUCGGGGCUGCAGCCUGAGGAUGAGGCCGACUACUACUGUCAGUCUUAUGAUAGUAGCUACAAUCACACAGUGCUCCAGACUCUGGGGGAACAGAAUCCAGGGAGCCCUCCCCGGUAUCUCCUGUGGUAUAAAUCAGACUCAGACAAGCACCAGGGCUCUGGGGUCCCGAGCCGCUUCUCUGGAUCCAAAGACACCUCGGCCAAUGCAGGGCUCCUGACCAUCUCUGGGCUGCAGCCUGAGGACGAGGCCGACUAUUACUGUGCUGACCUGGACUCCGUGACGGGCAACGGUUACCAGAGCUGA